AUGAACAGGCAGAAUACAAGCCAAGUUAACACCAGCCAUGGUGAAACCAGCUGGGAGGACAACCUCUCACAACAAUUUAUUGACUUGGACCAAGGAGGUGAUACACUGAGCCUUGGUACAGAGUUUAAGGAGUCAUUGAAAUCAAUGAGAAUGUCAUUGAAAAAGGAUUUAGAAGUGGUAAUGGACUCCCUUGAUGAGCUAAAGGACUUUGAAAGUGAGUCCUCGGAAGACCUGCGGGAAAACAACCAGGUGUCCAGCCAAGCUAGCACCAGCCAGGCCCAAACCAGCCAGGAGGAGAACCUCUCACACUAUAGUGACUCGGACCAGGAAAGUGAUACACAGAGCCAGGGUUCAGAAAUCAAUGAGUCACUGGCCUUAAGGGGAACGUCACCUACAGAGAACCUAGAAGUGCUAAUGGAUUACUUGUAUGGUAUAGAUGGACUAAAUGGCAUAGGAACUGAGUUCUGGGAAGACCCCUGGGAAAACAACCAGGUUCCCUGCCAAGCUAGCACCAGUCAGGGCCAAACCAGCCAGGAGGCCAACCUCUUACAACAAUAUAGUGACUUGGAGCAAGGAAGUGAUACACAGAGCACAGCUUCAGAAAUCAAGGAGUCACUGAAAUUAAGGGGAAUGCCGCUGGAAGAGAAACUAGAAGUGCAAACCAAAUCCUCCUAUGUUCUGGAGGAGCAAAUGGACAUAGAAAGUGAGUCCGAGGAGGACCUCUCAGAAAACAACCAGCUGCCCAGCAUAGCUAGCUCCAGCCAGGGCGAAACCAGCUGGGAGGAGAACCUCUCACAAUACUAUAGUGAUUCAGACCAAGAAAGUGAUACAGAGAGCACAGGUUCAGAAAUCAGUGAGUUACUGAACUCAAGGGGAAUGUCACUUACAGAGAAGAUCGAAUUACUAAUGAGAUUCUUGAACGGUAUAGAAGGGCUUAAGAACAUACAAAGUGAGUCCUGGGAAGACCUGCGGGAAAACAACCAGGUGCCCAGCCAAGCUAGCACCAGCCAGGGCCAAACCAGCCAGGAGAAGAACCUCUCACAACAAUAUAGUGACUUGGACCAAGAAAGUGAUACACAGAGCACAGCUUCAGAAAUCAAGGAGUCACUGAACUUAAGGGGAAUGCCGCUGAAAGAGAAACUAGAAGUGCAAACAAAAUCCUUCUGUGUUCUGGAGGAGCAAGUAGACAUAGAGAGUGAGUCUGAGGAAGACCUCUGGGAAAACAACCAGCUGCCCAGCAUAGCUAGCUCCAGCCAGGGUGAAACCAGCUGGGAGGAGAACCUGUCACAACACUAUAGUGACUUGGAGCAAGGAAGUGAUACACAGAGCCUGAUUUUAGAAUUUAUAGAGUCAUUGAAAUUAAUGAGAAAGUCAUUGAAAAAAGAUUUAGAAGCUGUAAUGGAAUCCUUUGACAAUCUGGAUUGGCUAAAGGACACAGAAAGUGAGUCCUGGGAGGUAUUCUGGGUAAAUCCCCGGGUGUCCAGCCGAGCUAGCACCAGCCAGGUCAAAACCAGCCAGGAGGAGAAUCUCUCACAACAGUAUAGUGACUCAGACCAAGAAAGUGAUACACAGAGCCUGGGUUCAGAAAUCACAGAGUCAUCGAACUUCUCGAAAAUGUCUUUGACAAAGCAGAUAGAAGUGCUAAGAGAAUCCUUCAACAAUUUGGAGGCUGAAAGGGCCAGACAUAUGGAGUCCUGGAAUGAAGAGAGAGGGUCCCGUCUCUCACAAAUAACCCUGUUGUCCCAAAAACAGCAUGAGCUUGAACUGGAGCUUGAGAGGACGAAUGAAUGCGUAGCCACGCUGCCAUCCACAGUUAGUAGCUUUUGGGAACAACACCAGAAGGACUUAUUGGAAAGUCAACAGAUGGAAGACAAAUGCCAGGAACUGAAUGCCAUCCUUAGAUCAAAUAUCAAGCAAAAGGUGGAUCUUGAAAAACAAAUCGGGCACUUACAGAAGUGUCUGAACAGUCGCAAGGAAAUCCAAGCUUGGGAGUUAGAGAAUAAGAUCAUGCUCAAACAGUUAGAAGAGAAGAAAUCUUACUGUAAGGCACUAUCAGACCUAGAAGAAGAGAAGGCAGCUAAAAUGUUGGAGAUCAAACAAAUAAGGCUUGAAAUUUCCGAAGAGGAAAGCAGGCUCGCUGCAGUAGAAUGUCAACCAAUACCGCCAUCACCAAAGCCGCCAGCACCAAAGAUAUCAAUGUGGAAAAGAUUCACUUGGUGGUUCAGAAAGAAAAUGAACAUCUGA
Molecule: long non-coding RNA, 2244 nt
Filed under: Sparus aurata (gilthead seabream)
Lineage: Eukaryota; Metazoa; Chordata; Actinopteri; Spariformes; Sparidae
Description: lncRNA (ENSSAUG00010010152.1)
Source: RNAcentral